This 78-nucleotide transfer RNA is filed under the name Actinoplanes campanulatus. RNAcentral describes it as "tRNA-Pro". Lineage: Bacteria; Bacillati; Actinomycetota; Actinomycetes; Micromonosporales; Micromonosporaceae. The record is from RNAcentral.
GCGGCGGCUGCUGAGGGCCGCGCGCCGGCUGCGGCUGGGGACCGCGGGGCGGCUGCGGCUGGGGACCGCGCGGCUGCU